CUACCCCUUGACCAGCUGGAAUUCAACCCCACCUCCCUCAGCCUCCAAUCCCGCCAUAUUUCUUUUUUUUCCUUUCAAUUUUCUCUCUCUUUCUCCUGAAUCUGCAAAUUCCAAUUCGUCUGCAACUCCAAAUCCCAACCCAUCUCCUCCAUCCCCACCAUUUCAACUUCUUGUUUUCCCUCCUCUGGGAAUUUUGACCUCAUCAUUCCACAUUUUUGACCUUCGCUUCUUUCUCCUCUUUUAGCAACACACUUUGAGUUUUCCCACCCAAUUCAUUCUUUGAACGGUGCUUGCCCUGUCUGGUGCAAUAAAUUCUCUCCUCCCUACCUCGCCAGAAAAUGACCAUCUUCCUCAGCCUCGCUCACCUGGCUCCUUACUUCAUCUGUUUCGUCCUCUUUCUUCUUCUCUUGGAACAGAUCUCGUACCUGAGAAAGAAGCGAUUCGUACCUGGGCCUACUCUGGUUCUUCCCUUCCUUGGCAACGCAAUCUCAUUGGUCCGCAGCCCCACCAAGUUCUGGGACGUCCAAUCGGCUCUCGCCAAGUCAUCCAAUCUGGGAUUCUCCGCCAACUACAUCAUCGGCAAGUUCGUCCUCUUUAUCCGCGACACCGAACUCUCUCAUAAGGUCUUCGCGAACGUUCGACCUGAUGCGUUUCACUUGGUGGGUCACCCGUUCGGCAAGAAGCUCUUCGGCGAACACAAUCUCAUCUACAUGAUGGGCCAAGAACACAAGGACCUCCGCCGUCGGAUCGCACCGAAUUUCACCCCCAAGGCUCUCUCUACAUACACCGCGUUGCAGCAGAUUAUCAUCCUCAAGCACCUCAAGAUAUGGGAGAAGCUCUCGUCGGAGAAUGCACCGAACCCGAUUGCGCUUCGGGUUCUGGCCCGGGAUAUGAAUCUGGAAACUUCUCAGACGGUGUUCGUGGGCCCCUAUUUGGGCCUGGAGGCCCGAGAGAGGUUUAAGCAGGAUUAUUUUCACUUCAAUGUUGGGCUCAUGAAACUGCCUAUCGAUUUUCCCGGGACGGCGUUUCGAAACGCCAGACUCGCCGUUGACCGACUGGCCAAAACCCUAGGGACGUGCGCGGAGCACAGCAAGAAGAGGAUGGAGGGAGGCGAAGAUCCUUUGUGCUUGAUAGAUUACUGGAUGCAGGACACACUGAGGGAGAUUGCCGAGAACAAGGCCGCCGGAAAUCCGCCGCCGCCGUACUCCAGCGACGUCGAGAUAGGCGGGUAUCUCUUCGAUUUUCUCUUCGCGGCACAGGAUGCUUCCACCUCGUCGCUUCUGUGGGCGGUCGCGCUGCUCGAUUCGCACCCAGACGUUUUGUCAAAGGUCAGGGAGGAAGUGGCUGGGGUGUGGUCUCCGGAGAGCGAUACUCUGAUAACUGCGGAGCAGUUGAGGGAGAUGAAGUACACGCAAGCUGUGGCGCGUGAGGUUGUGAGAUACAGGCCGCCGGCGACGCUGGUGCCGCACAUAGCCGCGGAGGCUUUCCCGUUGACGGAGAGUUACACGAUUCCCAAAGGGUGCAUAGUAUUCCCAUCCGCAUUCGAUUCUUCCUUCCAGGGCUUCACCGAACCGGAUCGGUUCGACCCCGACCGGUUUUCGGAGGGGAGGCAAGAGGAUCAAAUAUUCAAAAGGAACUUCCUGGCCUUCGGUGCCGGGGCGCACCAGUGCGUGGGGCAGAGAUACGCUCUCAACCACCUGGUUCUGUUCAUAGCAUUGUUUGCGUCGUUGAUGGAUUUCAAGAGGCACAGAUCGGAUGGCUGCGAUGAAAUCGCUUACGUUCCUACAAUUUGCCCAAAGGACGAUUGCAAGGUUUACCUGAAGAGGCGAUGCACGCGAUAUCCUUUCUUCCCACAGAUUGAAUUGACGAAAUGACGAAAGUACCCUCCUGUUAUAUUCUAAUUUCUACAUUAGCAGAGAUGAAACUGAAGGUGGCAUUGGUAUCAAGAAUUUGAAGAAACAGAAUGAGGAAUGAAGCUCUGCUGGAAUCUACUGACUAAUAAGGAAGCUCUUUGAGUGAAAGUCUUCAAAACUAGAUGCUGUUAUGGUGGUGAUCAUAUGUAUUCUGUGCAUCCAAAAAGAAGCAACAUUCAUCCCUUGGAAUAGUAUCUGUGAUGUUUGGAAUAAAUUCAAAGGGGGAGCUGGGUGGAAAAUUGGCAAUGGUGCAACUACUUCCUUCCUUCUGGUUGGAUGACAGUAAUCACCAGCGACUGGAUAAUGUGUGGAAACUCCAGUGGAGACGGGCAAACCAGUGGCUUUUUAAUCAUGGGAGGGUGCAUACAAUGGAGCUUAGAGCUAGGAGAGGUAUGCAAACCAGUGAUAGCUGCCCAGUUGGAUGCAGCACAACAGAGGAUUCCAAUGCACCAAUGUAAAAAAUCGCAAGCUCUCUGUCCUCAGACGAUUCUAAGGAGACUUUCUUGACGCUACAAGGAGCAAAUUGGGUCAAGUGGAAUUUAAAACAUGAGGCUGGUCAGGAAUACACUAAAAAGGUUUCUUGGCUUUUGCUUUCUAAAUACAAAUGCUGGAUAUUUGAGUUGCUCGCUGUAAUCUCGUGCCUGGGGAGGGUUCUGAGGAUGUGAAUCCAGGUGGCCUCCCUAGCCUAUUUCAAGCUACCUUGGAUAUGGAAUUAUUGAGUAAUCGUUCUUUAUUCAAUCCUCAUAACUUCGAUCUAUCAAGCUGCAUGUUAUUGGUUCUGUCAUGCUUGAUGGAAGCAGUGGCUACGGUGAAAUUUUGGGUGACAGGCACAACAAUUGGAUAGUUGGAUUUAGCUCCAAGCUAAGUAAUAUCAGUGCCGCCUGUUGUGUCUGAACUGAUUGGCGUCAUUCAGGGAUGGACUCUUAGCAGGGAGCGUGGCUACCAUGAAGUUGUUAUUUUCUCUGCUUGGCUGCUAUUAGUUUAGGGCCUGUUUGGACCCUUUAGAAUCAAUUCUAGGUUUAAAAUUAUGGUUUUGAAAAAUUUUAUCCAAACACCUCAAUUUUCCCAAACUCCAUUUGGCUUCCAAAACUCAUUUGAACAAGCUGAAAUUUGUUCCAUUUUGAAAAAAUCAAUAUCAUAAUCAAUUCUUGAAAUUUUAUCCAAACACCAUCACGUUUUAAUAAUUAAUUUUUUUCUUAAUCAAUUUUUUUCAAUUAAAAUCCAAACACACCCUUAGUCCUUAGAGGUUGUGAUUGUAAUUAUCCUUUUAGGGACAUUGUUGAGGAAGCAAGAGCUUUCUUCCUUAGGGAUGGUGAGAUUAUUUUUAGACAUGUUUACAAUUCUGAAGGAUCCGCCUCAACGGUGUAAUAAUUUUCUUUCUUUGGAUUUUAUUGGUCUUUCCUAGUGGCUCUUCCCCUUU
RNA transcript from Prosopis cineraria, 3333 nucleotides. It is a transcript of the gene named cytochrome P450 710A1-like, with no coding region annotated. The transcript is spliced from 3 exons. NCBI's taxonomy places the organism in Eukaryota, Viridiplantae, Streptophyta, Magnoliopsida, Fabales, Fabaceae. The record is from RefSeq and is a predicted model, not a curated record.